UAUCUUAUAAUUCUGGCGCUAACAAAACGGUGGGAGUAAGAGGAUCAGUUGCUUAUAUUCCAAAUGCGCUCGCUCUCUCUUUAUAUAUUCCCAAAACGGUGGUGUUUUACCACCGCACAGAACAGCUCACGAGUUAUGGGAUUGGCCUCCAUUGUUAACGGUGGCGUCCAAAUUCCAUUCAACUUAGAUCGCCGCGUGCUCAGGGUUUCACCUUCACCUUCCAAAUGCUCUCAACUCCACUUUCUUCACCAUCCUAUCUCUUCCUUUUCCUCAGUGUAUCAUUAUCGUCGUCCUCACCGUGUUCCGGUUCUAUGCUCCAGACGAAUUGAAGUAAAGAGGAUUAGUGUUCAACCAAGUGAUGACAGUAACGAAAUUGAGAAAUGUCGUACUCAGGAAGAAUCUCUGGGAAAUGAAACUUACAGCUCCUCUGUUCAAACUGUAGCCUUAUGGGUCUGCACUGCAGUGGCAUUUGGUGUCGGUUUGGGUGUUAAAGAAGGUUUUGGCAAGGCAUCCGAAUUCUUUGCUGGAUACAUAUUGGAGCAAAGUCUUUCCGUAGAUAAUCUCUUUGUCUUUGUUCUAAUAUUCAAAUACUUCAAAGUGCCAACUUCGUAUCAGAACCGUGUACUUUCCUAUGGUAUUGCUGGUGCAGUUGUCUUUCGCCUGACAAUAAUACUUCUUGGAACAGCCACCCUUCAGAGGUUUGAGGCAGUCAACCUUCUAUUGGCAGCAAUAUUACUAUACUCAUCAUUUAAGUUAUUUGCCAGUGAAGAAGAUGAGUCUGACUUAUCUGAUAACUUUGUGGUGAAGACAUGCAGGAAAUUUAUCCCUAUAACAACACAUUAUGAUGGAAAUCGGUUCAUAACAAAUCAGGAUGGGAUGUGGAAAGCCACCCCUUUGCUUCUUACUGUAGCAGUUAUUGAGCUCAGUGACAUUGCAUUUGCAGUUGACUCAAUACCUGCAGUUUUUGGUGUAACACGAGAUCCAUUUGUAGUCUUUACUUCUAACCUUUUUGCAAUUUUGGGUUUAAGGUCACUUUAUUCAAUAAUUUCCGGGGGUAUGUCAGAGUUGAAGUACUUACAGCCGUCCAUUGCGGUUGUUCUCGGAUUUAUUGGGUCUAAGAUGAUCCUGGACUACUUUGGAAUCCAUGUUUCAACGGAGGCAUCUCUUGGUUUUGUAGCCUCAAGUCUCACCAUUGGAGUGCUAUUAAGUCUGGCUAAGAAGUCUGACUAGCUUAAAAAGUAAAUUCCAACUUGGGAUGGAUUGAGCUCUAUAUGAUUGCAUAUACUUACCAAGCAAUGGCACCAUCCUCCUCCCCCGUUCCUUCUAUUAUCUUGUAAACCUUGUAGAAAGAAUGAUUUGAUUUGAUUCGUUGGUGUCAAUUGCCAAUUGAGGAGUCAUUUGUAGCCUGUGCUAUGGCUCAAGUUGAUGCUAAACGCCAAAGAAUAAUUAAAGUGCCAACAUUUGGUAUCACAUCCAAGUUUUAUGAAUCCGCACCCGUGUCAGCAAUCAAACUACAAAUUCAGCGAAGAAAGUAUAAAUGUUUUUUAAGUGGUAGUAAAAUCUAUUAUUGAAAAGUUCGGUAGGACUAAACACAUAAUUCUAAGUUUGAUGUUGAAAUUUAUGUGUAAAUAAAAACAUUACUUUGAAGAGUUUUUUUUUUUUUUUUUCUUUCUUUAGUGCAUGAACCUUUUGGUAAUAUUAGAGGGCUCAAGCAGCCCAAAAAAAAACAAAGAAAAG
This is an RNA transcript of Gastrolobium bilobum, 1737 nucleotides long. It is a transcript of the gene named thylakoid membrane protein TERC, chloroplastic, with no coding region annotated. The transcript is spliced from 15 exons. The record is from RefSeq and is a predicted model, not a curated record. Lineage: Eukaryota; Viridiplantae; Streptophyta; Magnoliopsida; Fabales; Fabaceae.